Molecule: transfer RNA, 84 nt
Filed under: Candidatus Gracilibacteria bacterium CG17_big_fil_post_rev_8_21_14_2_50_48_13
Lineage: Bacteria; Candidatus Altimarinota
Description: tRNA-Leu
Rfam family: tRNA
About the family: Transfer RNA (tRNA) molecules are approximately 80 nucleotides in length.
Source: RNAcentral
GCCCAGGUGGUGAAAUUGGUAGACACGCCGGUCUUAGGAACCGGUGCCUAUGGCGUGGAGGUUCGAGUCCUCUCUUGGGCACCA